GACGAACGCUGGCGGCGUGCUUAACACAUGCAAGUCGAACGAUGAAGCAAAGAAUUGAAGCUUCGGCAGAAAUUCAUUUCGGAUUAGUGGCAGACGGGUGAGUAACGCGUGAGCAACCUACCUCUUACAAAGGGAUAGCCUCGGGAAACCGGGAUUAAUACCAUAUAACAUUGCGACGAAGCAUUUCGAUGCAAUCAAAGCUACGGCGGUAAGGGAUGGGCUCGCGUCCCAUGAACCAGAUGGUGAGGUAACGGCGCACCAUAGUAACGAUGGGUAACCGGGCUGAGAGGGUGAGCGGUGACACUGGAACUGAGACACGGUCCAGACUCCUACGGGAGGCAGCAGUGCGGAAUAUUGCACAAUGGAGGGAACUCUGAUGCAGCGACGCCGCGUGAGUGAUGAAGGAAUUCGUUUCGUAAAACUCUGUUCUAUGGGAAGAAAAGGACUGUACCAUAGGAGAAAGCUCCGGCUAAAUACGUG
Molecule: ribosomal RNA, 480 nt
Filed under: uncultured bacterium
Lineage: Bacteria
Description: partial 16S ribosomal RNA
Rfam family: Bacterial small subunit ribosomal RNA
Source: RNAcentral